GGGGAUGUAGCUCAGCUGGUAGAGCGCCUGCUUUGCAAGCAGGAAGUCAGGGGUUCGAGUCCCCUCAUCUCCA
This 73-nucleotide transfer RNA is filed under the name soil metagenome. It matches the Rfam family "tRNA". Rfam says of the family: Transfer RNA (tRNA) molecules are approximately 80 nucleotides in length. Their secondary structure includes four short double-helical elements and three loops (D, anti-codon, and T loops). The record is from RNAcentral.